Molecule: long non-coding RNA, 1755 nt
Organism: Astatotilapia calliptera (eastern happy)
Lineage: Eukaryota; Metazoa; Chordata; Actinopteri; Cichliformes; Cichlidae
Source: Ensembl
GUCAUGUCCAGUAAGUGGUUGUAAGCAUAUGUUUACAAAAAAGUCAUCAUUUACUUCUCACAUGUGUAGGAAGCAUAAAGCUUGUUCCCCAGAUGGUAUUGAUGACAUGUACAAGGAAUCUCGUCCUCAGCCCCCAAAUGACAGUACAGAAUAUUCAGAAAACACACAUGAAACCAUGGCAUCUGCUAGUUCAGCCAGUGAUAUGCCAGAGAAGGAUAGUCAUUCUUAUCUCAGAAACAUGUGUCUCUUUUACCUUAAACAGCUACUCAGCUACUUUGAAGAGAAGGAGGAGUCCAUGCUUCUCUGUGUUGAAGAUACAUGUCUGGCAGAUGAGGUACAACUGGAGCAAGUGCCUCUGACACCCACUAUUAUCAUGUGUGGUAAGUCUGUUUCAUAGCUCUCUCUCUCUCUUUUUUUUUAAGUGCAUUUUUUAUAGAAUGUCAUGUGACUGCCGUGUUUAUUGAUAUAACCUGUUAAAUAAUUUCUUCACAGGACAGUCCUGUUAUUCCUCAAGAAGAUACAUGCUGAGUGUUGAUCGGCACCUCGUCAGCACAAACAUAUCCUCCUUCAUUUCUGCACUGUGCCUCAUGUUCGGGAGCUACUACAAUUUCAACAUCCAUUAUCCAUCUGAGCUGGCUUCCACUUUAGAGUUUCUUCAGAGGUGAACAAAUAUGGCUUUGUUAUUUCUCAUAACUGAGACUCUGGGAUCUGGAGUCUGGCUUUGAUGUGGUUCGAGUCCAGGUCUGGCUCUGAGUCUCGGUCGGCUUUGGAGCCGGUUUCAGUUGUUUUUUCUGUUUUUUGUUGUUGUUUUUUUUGUUUGUUUGGUUUUUUUUAAAUACAUUAACAGUCUGAAUCUGGGUCCAAGCCUGGCCGAGACUCAGGGCUAGACCAAGCGUCAACUGACGUCUGACUACCUAUAACCUUUGCUUUGGAUUUUAACAAUGCUAAAGUGUGACAUAUCACUGCAGAAGACACUCAUGAAGGGUGCCAAUACUUUUGACCAUGCAUUGUUCACUUCCCCACAGCAUUUUGGUUAUACUUUGUCUUGAACGUGGUCAUGGCCAUGACUGUAUAUAUAUGUAUAUACUUAAUUUUUACUUACUUUGUAUGUGUAUUUUAACUGAUCAAUUAUAAAAAUGCUUAAUAAACUUUUAUAUGAUUGUUAUUCUACAGGUGUUUCUUCUCCAUAAACCCAGAAAAAGGAACCAAAGUAGAGAACAAAAACUCAAAGCGUCGUCUCAGUGUGAACCCUCGAGUCCUCACCCUGAUUUAGGAUCUCGCCGACCACGAGUGGCGCUAAGCCUAAAUCUUGACUCUCUGUGGACUGUUAGUUUUACUUUGUUAAUUUUGUUCCACAAUGUGUACUGGAACCUUUUACUGGUCGAAUGCAUGAAGCCAAUUCAUGAAGAUGUUCUUUCUUUGUAGGAAUGUUCUUUAUUUACAUAAGAAAAGAAAAAAAACAACAUGCUGCUACUGCAGUGUUUCUAGACCACAUGUGUAGGUUUGUUUCACCACGUGGUUUUGCUGAUGUUUUCUGACCAGGGCCAUGGUUGUGGUGACAGCAGGGUGCGUGUUGCGUUGCACGGUGAUUAUGAUCAUUUUUGGCACAAUAUGUGUUUUUUGUUUUAAAGUCUUAACAGGUUAUUUAACUUUUUCUGGUGGAGGGUCUUGUUAGACAAUAAGAACAAAAAAAAUGCUUGUUUCAUGAACAUGGUUCUUGCUUUGCAGGAAUGUUCCACAGCUUUUAUAGCCUAU